AUGGACAAAGUCGAGGUGAUUCGACAACAGUCAAGGGGAUUUGACACAGUCGAGGUGAUUCGACACAGUCGAGGGGAUUCGACACAGUCGAGGGGAUUCGACACAGUCGAGGGGAUUCGACACUAAUAAUAGCCCACUUGGGUUGGGUACUCCCUAUGUUUUCACAUAUAUUAAUGUCCUUGCAAAACAUUAAUUGAUCUAUUCAUAGACGCUUUACAUACUUGUUUUCAAAGGAAUCUCUCAAAUGUUUACAAGUUUAUUGGAACUCAUACAAAACGCAUGAACUCGCUCAACUUUUGUUGACUUUUUAAAACUACAUGUAUUUCAGGAAACAAGUCUUGAGCCGGUGAUACAUGAUUGGAUGCAAUGAUUACCUUUCUUACGUCACACGCAACACGCUUCCGCAACUAGCAGGGUGUGAC
RNAcentral lists this long non-coding RNA (422 nucleotides) under Helianthus annuus (common sunflower). The record is from RNAcentral. Lineage: Eukaryota; Viridiplantae; Streptophyta; Magnoliopsida; Asterales; Asteraceae.